RNAcentral lists this ribosomal RNA (103 nucleotides) under uncultured bacterium. RNAcentral's name for it is "partial 16S ribosomal RNA". It matches the Rfam family "Bacterial small subunit ribosomal RNA", at positions 1367 to 1482 of the family's 1533-position model. The record is from RNAcentral.
UACGUUCCCGGGCCUUGUACACACCGCCCGUCACAUCACGAAAGUGGGUUGUACUAGAAGUCCUAAUAUAAACAGGCCCAAGGUAUGACUCAUGAUUGGGGUG